RNAcentral lists this ribosomal RNA (497 nucleotides) under uncultured bacterium. RNAcentral's name for it is "partial 16S ribosomal RNA". It matches the Rfam family "Bacterial small subunit ribosomal RNA", at positions 28 to 507 of the family's 1533-position model. The record is from RNAcentral.
GAUGAACGCUGGCGGCGUGCCUAAUACAUGCAAGUCGAGCGAACAGACGAGGAGCUUGCUCCUCUGACGUUAGCGGCGGACGGGUGAGUAACACGUGGAUAACCUACCUAUAAGACUGGGAUAACUUCGGGAAACCGGAGCUAAUACCGGAUAAUAUAUUGAACCGCAUGGUUCAAUAGUGAAAGACGGUUUUGCUGUCACUUAUAGAUGGAUCCGCGCCGCAUUAGCUAGUUGGUAAGGUAACGGCUUACCAAGGCAACGAUGCGUAGCCGACCUGAGAGGGUGAUCGGCCACCCUGGAACUGAGACACGGUCCAGACUCCUACGGGAGGCCGCAGUAGGGAAUCUUCCGCAAUGGGCGAAAGCCUGACGGAGCAACGCCGCGUGAGUGAUGAAGGUCUUCGGAUCGUAAAACUCUGUUAUUAGGGAAGAACAAAUGUGUAAGUAACUAUGCACGUCUUGACGGUACCUAAUCAGAAAGCCUCGGCUAACUACGUG